RNAcentral lists this ribosomal RNA (31 nucleotides) under Parastagonospora avenae. RNAcentral's name for it is "partial 28S ribosomal RNA". Lineage: Eukaryota; Fungi; Ascomycota; Dothideomycetes; Pleosporales; Phaeosphaeriaceae. The record is from RNAcentral. RNAcentral also lists the same sequence under 1 other name.
UUUUGACCUCGGAUCAGGUAGGGAUACCCGC